Long non-coding RNA from Mizuhopecten yessoensis (Yesso scallop), 752 nucleotides. RefSeq lists it as uncharacterized. NCBI's taxonomy places the organism in Eukaryota, Metazoa, Mollusca, Bivalvia, Pectinida, Pectinidae. The record is from RefSeq and is a predicted model, not a curated record. The transcript is spliced from 4 exons.
GUCUGAAAUUACACCUGUUUAGAGGAUGCAUUGUCACUUCCUCUUCCUCUUUUCAGUUUGUCUUGCAAGUUAUAACAAGACAAGAUGAGGGCUAAGUGGAGAAAGAAGCGUAUGAGGAGGCUGAAGCGCAAAAGGAGGAAGAUGAGGGCAAGGUCCAAGUAGAUUUGCCCCGUAACCUUCACACGAUCGGCUGACUAGCCUACAUCUGCAGACUGUCAUUUGUGACAAAAUAACUUUGGAAUGCAAGUUACCACUUGUGUUCUUGUGAGGAAGAAAUUAUGAAGAUGAUGAAGAAGAAGAUGAUGAUGAUGAAUAGUGUUGAUUUUGUGAGCCAUCUCAGAUGGAUCAGAUAUCGCACACCCUUGUCACUAAUGAUGGUUCAAGCAUACCAGUAGGUCAAUUUCAACUCAACUUUUCCCCUCAUCUCGUCGCCAAGGCAACAACACAACAGCAGCAACAACAACAUUGUGAUGCACCAUCUGAAGAGGCUACCGUCGUAUAAACCAAUGGUCAACUUGAAACAUCUCUGGGACACAUACAGGAGAGAACUCCCUGACGUGCACAUCUGCAAUGGGUGGGCAGGUUAAUAGUUUCGAUGGUGGACCUCAUCUUAUGGUGGUCAUUCGAAGUUGAAUCUAUUGGUUUUGGGAUGCAAGGUUGGUGAGCAGGACUAGUAAACACCUCAUCAGUCGGACACUACAGUAGACUCUGAAUUGUGUGAAGGAAUAAAAAAAAAAUUAGAAAGAAAAAAA